CCUUCCCGUUCUCCUUCCCGUUCUCCUUCCCAUUCUCCUUCCCGUUCUCCUUCCCGUUCUCACCCUGCCUGCUCUGUUUAACGCAGACUCUCCGUCAGUCUGCAUCCGGUCUCCAUGGCAACCACUGCUGGACCAACCCACGGUGGUCUCAGCGACUGACGUCAGGACGGAUGUUAGCUGGACUCAGGCGCGUUGCCAUGGAGACGGUGGGUGGAGUAAACAUUAACGCUCAACAAGGCGAUGCCCAUCCAUCAGAGGUCCAUCAAAACCCAAACAGUGGAGGUGGCAGUAUUUCUCACCGCCUGAGUUCCUGUAAAAUCCUCUGCGAUCGAUGUGAACAUAUUUAAGUUCUUUAAAGAAUAAACAUAUUUGUGUAAAGUC
Molecule: non-coding RNA, 381 nt
Organism: Poecilia reticulata (guppy)
Lineage: Eukaryota; Metazoa; Chordata; Actinopteri; Cyprinodontiformes; Poeciliidae
Source: RefSeq, a predicted model, not a curated record